Molecule: long non-coding RNA, 1048 nt
Organism: Bos taurus (domestic cattle)
Lineage: Eukaryota; Metazoa; Chordata; Mammalia; Artiodactyla; Bovidae
Source: Ensembl
AGUUUGACCUGAACCUAAACAGGAGGACUCAAUUAGAUCCAGAUGGGGAGACUGUCUACAGUCACCAGGACUUCCCUGGUGGCACAGUGGAUAAGAAUCUGCCUGCCAGUGCAGGGGACACGGGUUCGAUCCCUGGAAGAUUCCACAUGCCGCUGAACAACUAAGCCUGGGCGCCACAGCUACUGAGCCCUUGCUCUGGAGCCCUCAAGUGCAGCUACUGAAGCCUGCUUGCCUAGAGCCUGUGCUCAGAAACAAGAGAAGCCACUGCUGUGAGAAGCCCUCACACAAUAACUAGAGAGCAGCCCCUAUUCUCCGGAACUAGAGAAAGCCCUCGCAGCAACGGAGACCCAGUGCAGCCAAAACUAAGUAAAUAAAAUAUAGCAGGGUGUACAUGUCAAAAAAAUAAAUGAAACCUUAAAAAAAAUAUUCACAGUUUUUAAAGACUCCUCAGUCCCAUGGUCUAUGGAGUGGCAUAGAGUCGGACACGACUAAGACGACUGAACCCCCGCAUACAAACAGUCACAAAUCUGACCAUUCUGCUCUUUUGCUGGGUCAUCAUUUUUGAGCAUCUGACAAUCAGCACCUGGGUCCCAAAAGACCAGCUUUCAGUAGCCCGUUGGCAAGUCGAAGUUGGCUAUUUACUUAACAUACUCUUUAUCAUGGUGCAAACAUCUUCUUAAUCACAGUUUCUAAAGUACGACUGAGCGACUUCACUUUCACUUUUCACUUUCCUGCAUUGGAAAAGGAAAUGGCAACCCACUCCAGUGUUCUUGCCUGGAGAAUCCCAGGGACGGGGGAGCCUGGUGGGCUGCCGUCUCAGGGGUUGCACAGUCGGACACGACUGAAGCGACUUAGCAGCAGCAGCAGCUUUCCCACUAGCGCCACCUAGGAAGCCUGAGUUGAUGAAUCAUCAUCAAAAAAACCCCAGAUGUCCAUAAGUUUUUCUGUGAUCAGACUGAUAUAAGUUUCAGGGUUUAGAGGCCUUUGCCUUCAGUCUAUUACUGAUUUUGUUCUGUAAACUCAGGAAUAAAAUCACCAUGAUGAGGAC